Molecule: long non-coding RNA, 147 nt
Organism: Phyllostomus discolor (pale spear-nosed bat)
Lineage: Eukaryota; Metazoa; Chordata; Mammalia; Chiroptera; Phyllostomidae
Exons: 3
Source: RefSeq, a predicted model, not a curated record
UUUCUAUUUGCAUGUAAUAUUUUGUUCCAUCCCUUUACUUUUAGUUUGUAUGUAUUUUCGAUCUGAGAUGGAUCUCUUAUAGGCAGCAUAUAUACGGGUCUUAUUUUCUUAUCCAUUCCACUAUCCUAUGUUUUGUGGAUUGAGCAU